This 396-nucleotide ribosomal RNA is filed under the name uncultured bacterium. RNAcentral describes it as "partial 16S ribosomal RNA". It matches the Rfam family "Bacterial small subunit ribosomal RNA", at positions 338 to 732 of the family's 1533-position model. The record is from RNAcentral.
CCUACGGGAGGCUGCAGUGAGGAAUAUUGGUCAAUGGACGCAAGUCUGAACCAGCCAUGCCGCGUGCAGGAUGACGGCUCUAUGAGUUGUAACCUGCUUUUGUACGAGGGUAAACCCCGAUACGUGUAUCGGGUUGAAAGUAUCGUACGAAUAAGGGCCGGCAAAUUCCGUGCCAGCAGCCGCGGUAAUACGGAAGGCCCGAGCGUUAUCCGGAUUCAUUGGGCUUAAAGGGAGCGUAGGCGGGCGUUCAAGUCAGCGGGAAAAUCGCGCGGCUCAACUGCGCCCCGCAGUUGAAACUGGACGCCUUGAGUACACGACAGGCAGGCGGAAUUCGUGGUGUAGCGGUGAAAUGCAUAGAUAUCAAGAGGAACCCCGAUUGCGAAGGCAGCCUGCCGG